AGAGUUUGAUCMUGGCUCAGAUUGAACGCUGGCGGCAUGCCUUACACAUGCAAGUCGAACGGCAGCACGGGAGCAAUCCUGGUGGCGAGUGGCGAACGGGUGAGUAAUAUAUCGGAACGUGCCCAGUCGUGGGGGAUAACGCAGCGAAAGCUGUGCUAAUACCGCAUACGAUCUCUGGAUGAAAGCGGGGGACUCGCAAKGGCCUCGCGCGAUUGGAGCGGCCGAUAUCAGAUUAGCUAGUUGGUGGGGUAAAAGCUCACCAAGGCGACGAUCUGUAGCUGGUCUGAGAGGACGACCAGCCACACUGGAACUGAGACACGGUCCAGACUCCUACGGGAGGCAGCAGUGGGGAAUUUUGGACAAUGGGCGAAAGCCUGAUCCAGCAAUGCCGCGUGCAGGAUGAAGGCCUUCGGGUUGUAAACUGCUUUUGUACGGARCGAAACGGCUCACYCUAAUACGGUGGGCUAAUGACGGUACCGUAAGAAUAAGCACCGGCUAACUACGUGCCAGCAGCCGCGGUAAUACGUAGGGUGCGAGCGUUAAUCGGAAUUACUGGGCGUAAAGCGUGCGCAGGCGGUUAUGUAAGACAGAUGUGAAAUCCCCGGGCUCAACCUGGGACCUGCAUUUGUGACUGCAWGGCUAGAGUACGGUAGAGGGGGAUGGAAUUCCGCGUGUAGCAGUGAAAUGCGUAGAUAUGCGGAGGAACACCGAUGGCGAAGGCAAUCCCCUGGACCUGUACUGACGCUCAUGCACGAAAGCGUGGGGAGCAAACAGGAUUAGAUACCCUGGUAGUCCACGCCCUAAACGAUGUCAACUGGUUGUUGGGUCUUYACUGACUCAGUAACGAAGCUAACGCGUGAAGUUGACCGCCUGGGGAGUACGGCCGCAAGGUUGAAACUCAAAUGAAUUGACGG
Molecule: ribosomal RNA, 914 nt
Filed under: uncultured bacterium
Lineage: Bacteria
Description: bacterial SSU rRNA
Rfam family: Bacterial small subunit ribosomal RNA
Source: RNAcentral